ACGAACGCUGGCGGCGUGCUUAACACAUGCAAGUCAAGGACCGUAGGCAAUACGGGACUGGCGCACGGGUGCGGAACACGUAGGCAAUCUGCCCUUCAAGGGAGCACAACCAGCCGAAAGGUUGGCUAAAUCUCCGUAAAAUCAUAGAGUGGCAUCACUUAUUGAUCAAAUUUUUUGAAGGAUGAGCCUGCGUCUGAUUAGCUAGUUGGCGGGGUAACGGCCCACCAAGGCUACGAUCAGUAGCUGGUCUGAGAGGAUGAUCAGCCACAUUGGGACUGAGAUACGGCCCAGACUCCUACGGGAGGCAGCAGUGAGGAAUAUUGCUCAAUGGGGGAAACCCUGAAGCAGCAACGCCGCGUAAAGGAUGAAGGCGCUUUGCGUUGUAAACUUUUGUAGUCGGGGACAAAUUGUGGGUUACUACACACUAGAUGGUACCCGAAAAGUAAGGAUCGGCUAACUACGUGCCAGCAGCCGCGGUAAUACGUAGGAUCCGAGCGUUGUCCGGAUUUACUGGGUGUAAAGGGUGCGCAGGCGGACUGAUAAGUCAGUGGUGAAAUCUCGUCGCUUAACGACGAAACUGCCUUUGAUACUAUCAGUCUUGAAUCCGGUAGAGGAUCUGUGGAAUUCCGAGUUGUAGCAGUGGAAAUUGUGUUAGAUAUUCGGAAGAACACCAGUGGCGAAGGCAGCAGAUUGGGCCGGUAUUGACGCUCAGGCACGAAAGCAUGGGGAUCAAACAAGAUUAGAGACCCUGGUAGUCCAUGCCCUAAACGAUGUUCACUUGAUGUCUGCCCUAAGGGUAGGUGUCCGAAGCUAACGCGGAUAAGUGAACCACCUGGGAAGCACGCUCGCAAGGGUGAAACUCAAAGGAAUUGACGGGGGCCCGCACAAGCAGUGGAGCAUGUGGUUCAAUUCGAUGCAACGCGAAGAACCUUACCUAGGCUUGAAAAGCAGUCUAAAGCAGCGAAAGCUGUGUACCCGCAAGGGGGGCUGUACAGGUGCUGCAUGGCUGUCGUCAGCUCGUGCCGUGAGGUGUUUGGUUAAGUCCAGCAACGAGCGCAACCCCUGGGUUUAGUUGCCAGCACGUAAAGGUGGGAACUCUA
RNAcentral lists this ribosomal RNA (1100 nucleotides) under uncultured bacterium. RNAcentral's name for it is "bacterial SSU rRNA". It matches the Rfam family "Bacterial small subunit ribosomal RNA", at positions 29 to 1142 of the family's 1533-position model. The record is from RNAcentral.